GGACGAACGCUGGCGGCGUGCCUAAUACAUGCAAGUCGAACGGCUUUUCUAUGGAAGCUUGCUUCCACUGAGAAGAUAGUGGCGAACGGGUGAGUAACACGUGGGUAACCUGCCCAUAAGAGGGGGGAUAACAUCCGGAAACGGGUGCUAAUACCGCAUAGUUUUCUUGAUCGCAUGAUCGGGAAAGGAAAGACGGCCUUUGUGCUGUCGCUUAUGGAUGGACCCGCGGCGUAUUAGUUAGUUGGUGAGGUAACGGCUCACCAAGACGAUGAUACGUAGCCGACCUGAGAGGGUGAUCGGCCACAUUGGGACUGAGACACGGCCCAAACUCCUACGGGAGGCAGCAGUAGGGAAUCUUCCGCAAUGGACGAAAGUCUGACGGAGCAACGCCGCGUGAGUGAAGAAAGGUUUUCGGAUCGUAAAACUCUGUUGUCAGAGAAGAACAAGUUGGAGAGUAACUGCUCCAGCCUUGACGGUAUCUGACCAGAAAGCCACGGCUAACUACGUGCCAGCCGCAGC
RNAcentral lists this ribosomal RNA (519 nucleotides) under uncultured bacterium. Its description in RNAcentral is "bacterial SSU rRNA". It matches the Rfam family "Bacterial small subunit ribosomal RNA", at positions 27 to 518 of the family's 1533-position model. The record is from RNAcentral.